Molecule: RNase P RNA, 437 nt
Filed under: Aeromicrobium sp.
Lineage: Bacteria; Bacillati; Actinomycetota; Actinomycetes; Propionibacteriales; Nocardioidaceae
Description: RNase P RNA component class A
Rfam family: Bacterial RNase P class A
About the family: Ribonuclease P (RNase P) is a ubiquitous endoribonuclease, found in archaea, bacteria and eukarya as well as chloroplasts and mitochondria.
Source: RNAcentral
UGAGUCGGCCGGGCGGCCGCGUUGAAUUUAGGUUCACCGAGGAAAGUCCGGACUCCAUAGAGCAACGGUGGUGGCUAACAGCCACCCACGGUGACGUGCGGGACAGUGCCACAGAAAUUAGACCGCCAGCGGCCUUUGCCCGAUCGUGAGUGAGCACGCUCGCUCACGGAGACGGCGAAGGUGCGGGUAAGGGUGAAACGGUGAGGUAAGAGCUCACCAGCGCUCCGGGUGACCGGAGCGGCUAGGUAAACCCCACUGGGAGCAAGACCAAGUGGUGUUCCGUCCGCGGGACGCCGGCGCUGACGGACUGCUCGUCCAAUGUCAGCGGGUAGGUUGCCAGAGCGGCGCAGCAAUGUGUCGCCUAGAUAGAUGGCCGCCGGAGCCAAAGAUUAAGUUCAGCGGCCCCACAGGAUCCGGCUUACAGGCCGACUCAUUCG